This 490-nucleotide ribosomal RNA is filed under the name uncultured bacterium. RNAcentral's name for it is "bacterial SSU rRNA". It matches the Rfam family "Bacterial small subunit ribosomal RNA", at positions 28 to 507 of the family's 1533-position model. The record is from RNAcentral.
GAUGAACGCUAGCUACAGGCUUAACACAUGCAAGUCGAGGGGAAACGAUAGAGAAGCUUGCUUUUCAGGCGUCGACCGGCGCACGGGUGAGUAACGCGUGAGGAACCUGCCUCAAAGAGGGGGACAACAGUUGGAAACGACUGCUAAUACCGCAUAAGCCCACGGGUCGGCAUCGACCAGAGGGAAAGGAGCAAUCCGCUUUGAGAUGGCCUCGCGUCCGAUUAGCUAGUUGGUGAGGUAACGGCCCACCAAGGCGACGAUCAGUAGGGGUUCUGAGAGGAAGGUCCCCCACAUUGGAACUGAGACACGGUCCAAACUCCUACGGGAGGCAGCAGUGAGGAAUAUUGGUCAAUGGACGAGAGUCUGAACCAGCCAAGUAGCGUGAAGGAUGACUGCCCUAUGGGUUGUAAACUUCUUUUAUACGGGAAUAAAGUGAGGCACGUGUGCCUUUUUGUAUGUACCGUAUGAAUAAGGAUCGGCUAACUCCGUG